This 253-nucleotide ribosomal RNA is filed under the name uncultured bacterium. RNAcentral describes it as "partial 16S ribosomal RNA". It matches the Rfam family "Bacterial small subunit ribosomal RNA", at positions 524 to 776 of the family's 1533-position model. The record is from RNAcentral.
UACGUAGGGUGCGAGCGUUAAUCGGAAUUACUGGGCGUAAAGCGUGCGCAGGCGGUUCGCCAAGUCAGGUGUGAAAUCCCCGGGCUUAACCUGGGAAUUGCGCUUGAAACUAGCGGGCUUGAGUGUGGCAGAGGGGAGUGGAAUUCCACGUGUAGCAGUGAAAUGCGUAGAGAUGUGGAGGAACACCGAUGGCGAAGGCAGCCCCCUGGGUCAACACUGACGCUCAUGCACGAAAGCGUGGGGAGCAAACAGG